This 330-nucleotide ribosomal RNA is filed under the name uncultured bacterium. RNAcentral describes it as "bacterial SSU rRNA". It matches the Rfam family "Bacterial small subunit ribosomal RNA", at positions 570 to 898 of the family's 1533-position model. The record is from RNAcentral.
CGUAGGCGGCUCGAUAAGUUCUGUGUGAAAGCUCCCGGCUCAACUGGGAAGCGUCGUGGAAAACUGUCGAGCUGGAGUGUUGGAGAGGGAGGUGGAAGUCCCGGAGUAGGGGUGAAAUCCGUAGAGACCGGGCCGAACACCAGUGGCGAAGGCGACUUCCUGGCCAACGACUGACGCUGAGGCGCGAAAGCGUGGGGAGCGAACGGGAUUAGAUACCCCGGUAGUCCACGCCGUAAACGAUGGAUACUAGGUGUUGGUGGUAUCGACCCCACCAGUGCCGGCGCACACGCAGUAAGUAUCCCGCCUGGGGAGUACGGCCGCAAGGCUAAA